GCGGAGAUAAACUUAUAAGACGAGAAGACCCCAUGGAGCUUUAAACCCAAUAGCACCCGAUUAUUGUAUAACCUUAUAUAUGUCCGGCCUUUGUCUACUUGGUUUUAGGUUGGGGUGACCACGGAGCAUAAAAAAGCCUCCAUGAAGAAAGGAGUAAGUAUCCUUAUCAGAGAAUGACACUUCCAAGAAUUAAUAAACUAAUUUUUAAUGAUCCGAUAUUCGAUCAACGAACCAAGUUACCCUGGGGAUAACAGCGCAAUCCACCUCAAGAGCCCCUAUCGACAGGUGGGUUUACGACCUCGAUGUUGGAUCAGGGUAUCCCAGUGGUGCAGCAGCUACUGAAGGUUCGUUUGUUCAACGAUUAAAACCCU
This 371-nucleotide ribosomal RNA is filed under the name Boophis albilabris. RNAcentral describes it as "partial 16S ribosomal RNA". It matches the Rfam family "Bacterial large subunit ribosomal RNA", at positions 2076 to 2597 of the family's 2925-position model. Lineage: Eukaryota; Metazoa; Chordata; Amphibia; Anura; Mantellidae. The record is from RNAcentral.